Papaver somniferum (opium poppy) is the source of this 544-nucleotide long non-coding RNA. RefSeq lists it as uncharacterized. The transcript has 3 exons. Lineage: Eukaryota; Viridiplantae; Streptophyta; Magnoliopsida; Ranunculales; Papaveraceae. The record is from RefSeq and is a predicted model, not a curated record.
UUCUUAAACAAAGAGAUUCCAGAAAACAUGAUUGUGAGGAUUUCACAUGGCUACAUAUAGUUCCCAAUUCUCAAAGGCUGUGGCUCAUGAAAACAUGACUGCGAGGCAACGACAAUUAAGAAAAAGGAAUUUAGGAAGACUGGUGGAGAUGAGGAACGAAUGGCAGCCAUUGCAGCUUACAUGAAGCUUAAUUGGCAGGGCCUUCAGAAGAAGGUUGUCUUUGUUACUGUUAUUACAGAUCUCAACACCUUCCAUCGCACAUGGUUCAACACUGGUGUCAACCAAUGCUACUGCCCUUCGGACGAGGUUUCCAAGAGGGCGUUGGUUGAUGGCCUAGAGUCUUCCCAGAUUCGCGUGUUUGGUUUGCCCGUCAGGCCCUCGUUUUUUCGGCUGUAAAGAAAACUGCAAGAGCUCUCGGAGAAGCACUAUUCAGUGCAGAACUUGGUAAACCAAUUGGACAGAUCACCAUGGAAAGUCCAGUAAAGGUAAUAGGUAAUUCACUUGUUCUGUAUAUCUAACUAUGUAGUCAAGUGGGAUUGUUUUU